Molecule: ribosomal RNA, 527 nt
Filed under: uncultured bacterium
Lineage: Bacteria
Description: bacterial SSU rRNA
Rfam family: Bacterial small subunit ribosomal RNA
Source: RNAcentral
ACAUCCAGAGAAUUUAGCAGAGAUGCUUUAGUGCCUUCGGGAACUCUGAGACAGGUGCUGCAUGGCUGUCGUCAGCUCGUGUUGUGAAAUGUUGGGUUAAGUCCCGCAACGAGCGCAACCCUUUAUCCUUUGUUGCCAGCACGUAAUGGUGGGAACUCAAAGGAGACUGCCGGUGAUAAACCGGAGGAAGGUGGGGAUGACGUCAAGUCAUCAUGGCCCUUACGAGUAGGGCUACACACGUGCUACAAUGGCGCAUACAAAGAGAAGCGACCUCGCGAGAGCAAGCGGACCUCAUAAAGUGCGUCGUAGUCCGGAUUGGAGUCUGCAACUCGACUCCAUGAAGUCGGAAUCGCUAGUAAUCGUAAAUCAGAAUGUUACGGUGAAUACGUUCCCGGGCCUUGUACACACCGCCCGUCACACCAUGGGAGUGGGUUGCAAAAGAGGUAGAUAGCUUAACCUUCGGGAGGGCGUUUACCACUUUGUGAUUCAUGACUGGGGUGAAGUCGUAACAAGGUAGGCGUAGUGCU